Molecule: long non-coding RNA, 492 nt
Filed under: Dermacentor andersoni
Lineage: Eukaryota; Metazoa; Arthropoda; Arachnida; Ixodida; Ixodidae
Description: uncharacterized LOC126544460
Source: RNAcentral
UUCCCUUUUAUGCAGAUAUGCAAUAGCAAGCCCUUCCGUGUGUUCCAAAGACAAUGCCUACGCCUAGCCACAGCAGCUCCCUCAUACAGACUCCGCAAGCCAAGAGGCCGUGGAGGCAAAUGCAGGCAGCCAGCACACCCCGAACAGCCACCUUGACUGCGGGUGUGUCACCCUAGUCACCAAGGAAACAUUUGAGGGAAAGCGACAGGCAAUGUGAACAGCCACUUCUCCACGUAAACAAUACUCUUUCUCUCGGAUGACUCCUACGCUUCGCCACGCCAGCACACUUGUGCACAAAGAUGCUGCGGAGGCACGUGCAGGUCAGAGGCAAGAAGCAGUGGCACUGGCGUCGACAUUCACCUUCUUUUUCUUACACUGAGGCUGCCAGCACACCUCGAACAGCCACCUUGACUGCGGGUGUGUCAGUAGAUUCCUGUUGUACAUAUGCUCACAAUAAACUUCAGUAAACUUGAACUUGAUAAUAAACUUAAA